AGUUAUUAUCGGAUUACAGCAUACCAAUUUUCGAAUUUUCGGAACGGAGCUACGAACUCGUAGCUACGAACAUUCGGAUCACAGCAUAGGGAUGUAUAAGUAAUUUGUAGUUA
Long non-coding RNA from Rhagoletis zephyria (snowberry fruit fly), 113 nucleotides. RefSeq lists it as uncharacterized. The record is from RefSeq and is a predicted model, not a curated record. Lineage: Eukaryota; Metazoa; Arthropoda; Insecta; Diptera; Tephritidae.